UCCCGCGUAAUUUAAGCAUAUUAAUAAGCGGAGGAAAAGAAACUAACAAGGAUUCCCUUAGUAGCUGCGAGCGAACAGGGAGGAGCCCAGCACCGAAUCCUGCGCGCCACACGGCGCGUCUGGAAAUGUGGUGUUAGGGAGGAUCCGAUUAUCUCGCCCGGGGACGCCAGUCAAAGUCCAUCUUGAAAGCGGCCACAGCCCAUAGAGGGUGCCAGGCCCGUAGGACGGCGCUCCGCCUCCGCGGCGAAAGGAUCUAGAGUUCAAGAGUACGUGAAACCGUUCAGGGGUAAACGGAUGAAAUCUGGAAAAUCGAACGGAGAUGUUCAAGCCCCAAUCGCUCGUGCGUUGCACGGCGGCCGCCGAUGGAGGCGCGUCGCCCGCUCGCGUCGCAAGACGCGGCGGUGUCGUUCGCGCCCUUCACGGUCGCGUCGUCGCGCUCGCCGGCGUCGGGCCGCACUCAUCUCCUUGUAGUACGUCGCGACCCGUUGGGUGUCUGUCCAAGGCCCGCGCGUGGAGCCGGUCGUCGUGUCGCCGUGGCGCUCGCGGUUCUCCGCGAGCUCGCCCGCGCACGCGGCCGACCGCUGCGGUGUCCCGACAGGCCCGCCCGACGGUAUCGAGCAAAACGUCGAUCCGAAACGCACACAGGUCGCGCAAGCGACGUGCGGCGCCCCAGCGGCGUACGGAUCGCGUCGGCGACGCUCUAUCCAGAGCAUCACCCGACCCGUCUUGAAACACGGACCAAGGAGUCUAACAUGUGCGCGAGUCAUUGGGACCGCACUAAACCUAAAGGCGAAACGAAAGUGAAGGCCGGCUGUGGCGCGGCGUCCUCGGAUGUCGUCGCCCGUCGCGCCGAGGGGGGAUGCGGUCCGUCCGCAGCGACGGAUCGCCGCACCCCCGGGGCGUCUCGUUGUCAUUGCGACACAGCAGGCGCACCCAGAGCGUACACGUUGGGACCCGAAAGAUGGUGAACUAUGCCUGGCUGGUGCUCGGAGACAUUGUGGAGCGGUGCCGUCAUUGACGAGCCCGCACGUAACCAGUCUCAUCUGGUAAAGCGAAUGAUUAGAGGCCUUGGGGCCGAAACGACCUCAACCUAUUCUCAAACUUUAAAUGGGUGAGAAAUUCGACUUGCUCGAAUCGAUGAAGUCGAAUAGUAAAAUAUCCGACAGGAUGAACGAGUGCCAAGUGGGCCAAUUUUGGUAAGCAGAACUGGUGCUGUGGGAUGAACCAAACGUCGAGUUAAGGCGCCUAAAUCGAUGCUCAUGGGAUACCAUGAAAGGCGUUGGUUGCUUAAGACAGCAGGANNNNNNNNNNNNNNNNNNNNNNNNNNNNNNNNNNNNNNNNNNNNNNNNNNGGAGUCCGGUUCCUAUUCCGGAACCCGGCAGCGGAACCGACCAUGCGGGCCAAUGUCGCGCAAGCGGCAACUCGUCGGGGUAACCCAAAAGGACCCGGAGACGCCGUCGGAUGAUCGAGGCAGAGUUUUCUGUUCUGUAUGAGCGUUCGAGUUCCCUGGAAUCGCCUAGCGCGGAGAUAGGGUUUGGUUCGCGAAGAGCACCGCACUUGCGGCGGUGUCUCGAUCUAUCCCUCGGACCUUGAAAAUCCGGGAGAGGGCCACGUGGAGGUGUCGCGCCGGAUCGUACCCAUAUCCGCAGCAGGUCUCCAAGGUGAGGAGCCUCUAGUCGGUAGAA
This 1685-nucleotide ribosomal RNA is filed under the name Notoperla sp. BYU_PL146. Its description in RNAcentral is "partial 28S ribosomal RNA". It matches the Rfam family "Eukaryotic large subunit ribosomal RNA", at positions 24 to 1895 of the family's 3401-position model. Lineage: Eukaryota; Metazoa; Arthropoda; Insecta; Plecoptera; Gripopterygidae. The record is from RNAcentral.